UCGAGAAUUUUUCUCAAUGGGGGAAACCCUGAAGGAGCGACGCCGCGUGGAGGAUGAAGGUCUUCGGAUUGUAAACUCCUGUCAUUGGUGAACAAGGUUCGCCGGUUAACUGCCGGACGGGCUUGAUAGUAACCGAAGAGGAAGAGACGGCUAACUCUGUGCCAGCAGCCGCGGUAAUACAGAGGUCUCAAGCGUUGUUCGGAUUUAUUGGGCGUAAAGCGUGCGUAGGCGGCGGGGUAAGUGAGGUGUGAAAUCCUGGAGCUUAACUCCAGAACUGCACUUUAUACUGCCUUGCUCGAGGGCUGGAGAGGAGACUGGAAUUUACGGUGUAGCAGUGAAAUGCGUAGAGAUCGUAAGGAAGACCAGUGGCGAAGGCGAGUCUCUGGAAAGCUGCUGACGCUGAGGCACGAAGGCCAGGGGAGCAAACGG
This 429-nucleotide ribosomal RNA is filed under the name uncultured bacterium. Its description in RNAcentral is "bacterial SSU rRNA". It matches the Rfam family "Bacterial small subunit ribosomal RNA", at positions 355 to 775 of the family's 1533-position model. The record is from RNAcentral.